ACAUGAGUUGAAUAUGAAGUUCUUCAGAAGUCUCAGUGGAAGUUUUAUUCAUAAAAUUAAUAUCUUAGAAUAUUUUUAGCAAGGCUGGUAGGGGAUAAAUUGGUAUGGUCACUUUGGAGGGUAAAUUGGUAGUAUCUAUUAAAGUUUAGUUGUGCAUACUCUUUUUUUUUUGAGACGAAGUCUCGCUCUGUUGCCCAGGCUGGAGUGCAGUGACACAAUCUCCCAGGAGAAUGGCGUGAACCCAGGAGGGCAGAGCUUGCAGUGAGCAGAGAUCGUGCCACUGCACUCCAGCCUGGACGACAGAGCGAGACUCCAUCUCAGAAAAAAAAAACAAAAAAAAGAUUGGAAAUGAAAUAAGUAGCCAUCAAUAGCGUAGCUAUAUCAAAUGUUGUCUGACUGGAGUAUUAUGCAGCUUUAUAAAAGAAUGAGUGAAAUUAGUGAUUGAGUUGUGGUCUAUUUGAUCCUCUCAUCCUUCUCCAUUCAGUUCUGCUUCAUCUUUUUCUGAAGGAGAGCAAAUUUGAUGAACUAGAGAGAAUAUACUCCUCAUUUCCCAGAAAAAAAUGGUAAUAGCAGCCACAAGUAAUUGUAUCAACACUAAUGGCUACAAAUGAUUGUAUUAAAAAAUAAUUUAUCUGCAAAAGAAAUUAGAAAAAUUAAAACGUAGUUAAAAGCUU
Piliocolobus tephrosceles (Ugandan red Colobus) is the source of this 674-nucleotide long non-coding RNA. RefSeq lists it as uncharacterized. Lineage: Eukaryota; Metazoa; Chordata; Mammalia; Primates; Cercopithecidae. The record is from RefSeq and is a predicted model, not a curated record. The transcript has 2 exons.